RNAcentral lists this ribosomal RNA (207 nucleotides) under uncultured bacterium. Its description in RNAcentral is "partial 16S ribosomal RNA". It matches the Rfam family "Bacterial small subunit ribosomal RNA", at positions 568 to 774 of the family's 1533-position model. The record is from RNAcentral.
CGCGUAGGCGGCCCGGUAAGUCCGUUGUAAAAGUCGAAGGCUCAACCUUCGAAUGCCGAUGGAUACUGCCGGGCUAGAGUCCGGAAGAGGCGGGUGGAAUUCCUGGUGUAGCGGUGGAAUGCGCAGAUAUCAGGAGGAACACCGAUAGCGAAGGCAGCUCGCUGGGACGGUACUGACGCUGAGGCGCGAAAGCGUGGGGAGCGAACA